RNAcentral lists this ribosomal RNA (292 nucleotides) under uncultured bacterium. Its description in RNAcentral is "partial 16S ribosomal RNA". It matches the Rfam family "Bacterial small subunit ribosomal RNA", at positions 44 to 334 of the family's 1533-position model. The record is from RNAcentral.
GUGCUUAACACAUGCAAGUCGAGUGCGCGCCUGUAGCAAUACAGGUGGCGCACGGCGCACGGGUGCGUAACACGUGGGUAAUCUGCCCUCUGAUGGGGAAUAACUCGCCGAAAGGCGAGCUAAUUCCGCAUAACAUUCCGGGAACUUUGGUUCUUGGAUUCAAAGGCGUAAGUCGUCGGAGGAGGAGCCCGCGCACGAUUAGCUAGUUGGUGAGGUAAUGGCUCACCAAGGCUUUGAUCGUUAGCUGGUCUGAGAGGAUGGCCAGCCACACUGGAACUGAGACACGGUCCAG